GGGUUGUGAGGUUAAGCGACUAAGCGUACACGGUGGAUGCCCUGGCAGUCAGAGGCGAUGAAGGGCGUGCUAAUCUGCGAUAAGCGCCGGUAAGGUGAUAUGAACCGUUAUAACCGGCGAUACCCGAAUGGGGAAACCCAGUGUGACUCGUCACACUAUCAUUAACUGAAUCCAUAGGUUAAUGAGGCGAACCGGGGGAACUGAAACAUCUAAGUACCCCGAGGAAAAGAAAUCAACCGAGAUUCCCCCAGUAGCGGCGAGCGAACGGGGAGGAGCCCAGAGCCUGAAUCAGCAUAUGUGUUAGUGGAAGCGUCUGGAAAGGCGCGCGAUACAGGGUGACAGCCCCGUACACAAAAGCGCAUGUGCUGUGAGCUCGAUGAGUAGGGCGGGACACGUGGUAUCCUGUCUGAAUAUGGGGGGACCAUCCUCCAAGGCUAAAUACUCCUGACUGACCGAUAGUGAACCAGUACCGUGAGGGAAAGGCGAAAAGAACCCCGGCGAGGGGAGUGAAAAAGAACCUGAAACCGUGUACGUACAAGCAGUGGGAGCACCCUUUGGGGUGUGACUGCGUACCUUUUGUAUAAUGGGUCAGCGACUUAUAUUCUGUAGCAAGGUUAACCGAAUAGGGGAGCCGGAGGGAAACCGAGUCUUAAUUGGGCGUUAAGUUGCAGGGUAUAGACCCGAAACCCGGUGAUCUAGCCAUGGGCAGGUUGAAGGUUGGGUAACACUAACUGGAGGACCGAACCGACUAAUGUUGAAAAAUUAGCGGAUGACCUGUGGCUGGGGGUGAAAGGCCAAUCAAACCGGGAGAUAGCUGGUUCUCCCCGAAAGCUAUUUAGGUAGCGCCUCGUGAAUUCAUCAGGAUGUUGGCUUAGAAGCAGCCAUCAUUUAAAGAAAGCGUAAUAGCUCACUGGUCGAGUCGGCCUGCGCGGAAGAUGUAACGGGGCUAAACCAUGCACCGAAGCUGCGGCAGCGACGCUGAUGCGUUGUUGGGUAGGGGAGCGUUCUGUAAGCCUGCGAAGGUGGCCUGUGAGGGUUGCUGGAGGUAUCAGAAGUGCGAAUGCUGACAUAAGUAACGAUAAAGCGGGUGAAAAGCCCGCUCGCCGGAAGACCAAGGGUUCCUGUCCAACGUUAAUCGGGGCAGGGUGAGUCGACCCCUAAGGCGAGGCCGAAAGGCGUAGUCGAUGGGAAACGGGUUAAUAUUCCCGUACUUGGUGUUACUGCGAAGGGGGGACGGAGAAGGCUAUGUUGGCCGGGCGACGGUUGUCCCGGUUUAAGCGUGUAGGUGUGUGUUCCAGGUAAAUCCGGUUCACUUUAACACUGAGGCGUGAUGACGAGGCACUACGGUGCUGAAGCAACAAAUGCCCUGCUUCCAGGAAAAGCCUCUAAGCAUCAGGUAACAUCAAAUCGUACCCCAAACCGACACAGGUGGUCAGGUAGAGAAUACCAAGGCGCUUGAGAGAACUCGGGUGAAGGAACUAGGCAAAAUGGUGCCGUAACUUCGGGAGAAGGCACGCUGACACGUAGGUGAAGUGAUUUACUCAUGGAGCUGAAGUCAGUCGAAGAUACCAGCUGGCUGCAACUGUUUAUUAAAAACACAGCACUGUGCAAACACGAAAGUGGACGUAUACGGUGUGACGCCUGCCCGGUGCCGGAAGGUUAAUUGAUGGGGUCAGCGCAAGCGAAGCUCCUGAUCGAAGCCCCGGUAAACGGCGGCCGUAACUAUAACGGUCCUAAGGUAGCGAAAUUCCUUGUCGGGUAAGUUCCGACCUGCACGAAUGGCGUAAUGAUGGCCAGGCUGUCUCCACCCGAGACUCAGUGAAAUUGAACUCGCUGUGAAGAUGCAGUGUACCCGCGGCAAGACGGAAAGACCCCGUGAACCUUUACUAUAGCUUGACACUGAACAUUGAGCCUUGAUGUGUAGGAUAGGUGGGAGGCUUUGAAGUGUGGACGCCAGUCUGCAUGGAGCCGGCCUUGAAAUACCACCCUUUAAUGUUUGAUGUUCUAACGUGGACCCGUGAUCCGGGUUGCGGACAGUGUCUGGUGGGUAGUUUGACUGGGGCGGUCUCCUCCUAAAGAGUAACGGAGGAGCACGAAGGUUGGCUAAUCCUGGUCGGACAUCAGGAGGUUAGUGCAAUGGCAUAAGCCAGCUUGACUGCGAGCGUGACGGCGCGAGCAGGUGCGAAAGCAGGUCAUAGUGAUCCGGUGGUUCUGAAUGGAAGGGCCAUCGCUCAACGGAUAAAAGGUACUCCGGGGAUAACAGGCUGAUACCGCCCAAGAGUUCAUAUCGACGGCGGUGUUUGGCACCUCGAUGUCGGCUCAUCACAUCCUGGGGCUGAAGUAGGUCCCAAGGGUAUGGCUGUUCGCCAUUUAAAGUGGUACGCGAGCUGGGUUUAGAACGUCGUGAGACAGUUCGGUCCCUAUCUGCCGUGGGCGCUGGAGAACUGAGGGGGGCUGCUCCUAGUACGAGAGGACCGGAGUGGACGCAUCACUGGUGUUCGGGUUGUCAUGCCAAUGGCACUGCCCGGUAGCUAAAUGCGGAAGAGAUAAGUGCUGAAAGCAUCUAAGCACGAAACUUGCCCCGAGAUGAGUUCUCCCUGAGACUU
This 2606-nucleotide ribosomal RNA is filed under the name Salmonella enterica subsp. enterica serovar Schwarzengrund. RNAcentral describes it as "bacterial LSU rRNA". It matches the Rfam family "Bacterial large subunit ribosomal RNA". The record is from RNAcentral. Lineage: Bacteria; Pseudomonadati; Pseudomonadota; Gammaproteobacteria; Enterobacterales; Enterobacteriaceae.